This 266-nucleotide ribosomal RNA is filed under the name uncultured bacterium. RNAcentral describes it as "partial 16S ribosomal RNA". It matches the Rfam family "Bacterial small subunit ribosomal RNA", at positions 1235 to 1500 of the family's 1533-position model. The record is from RNAcentral.
UUUAACAAAGAGAAGCAAAGCCGCGAGGUAGAGCAAAUCUCAAAAAAACAAUCUCAGUUCAGACUGCAGGCUGCAACUCGCCUGCACGAAGUCGGAAUUGCUAGUAAUCGUAGGUCAGCAUACUACGGUGAAUACGUUCCCGGGCCUUGUACACACCGCCCGUCAAACCAUGAGAGUUGGCAACACCCGAAGUCGGUAGUCUAACCGCAAGGAGGACGCCGCCGAAGGUGGGGUUGAUGAUUAGGGUUAAGUCGUAACAAGGUAAC